This is a long non-coding RNA of Nematostella vectensis (starlet sea anemone), 564 nucleotides long. RefSeq lists it as uncharacterized. Lineage: Eukaryota; Metazoa; Cnidaria; Anthozoa; Actiniaria; Edwardsiidae. The transcript is spliced from 3 exons. The record is from RefSeq and is a predicted model, not a curated record.
AACCUUCUCUUUAUUUCUCGCCGAUUGAAUAGCUUUAUAAGCAAGGUUUGUUGUUCUACGAACACACAACGCUUGAGCCAUCCUUUGCAGACCUCACCGAAUCGACUCGAACUUCACGAAAGGUUGAAUCGUUCCAUCUUUCAAGAUCUCAAUUAUUUGCGAGCGCCAACGAUGGUUUCCAAGGUACUGAUGACGUCACUGCUGGUUGCAAUGGUAGUAGUCUUUGUGUGCACGCGUGUAUCAGAGGGCCGGUUGGCGAUGUGUAGCGGCUCCAAUAGGAGGAUGGCCGCCUGCUUGCCAAAAAGAUCAGUCUUCCCUAUAAGAGAAGAUGAGAACCUUGCUGACAACCUAGCAAUCGAUGGCGAGGGCGAUGCCAUUGCGCGUGCGCUGUUUUCAGGCGAAGUGGGCGACUCAAAGAAACGACGACUGUUGGCUUACUAAAAACAGCUAUCUGACAACUUAACGGAUUGAUUACAGUGAUAUCUAGAUGUAAGAGAUUACCCAGACAAAGAUCAUUUAACAUCUUAAAGUCUUUCUUCCUGAUCAUUAAAUGGUAUAAUCAAU